UAUGAACAAAUUAAUAAUAAAAAUGUAGAAAAUUAAUUUCACUGAAUGUAAAAGUCCCAGAAACAUGAUGAACUGAUGUGUAAUAUUUGAUCCAGUAAAACUGGUUUAUAGAGUCCAAACCAGCAGAACCAGAACAUGUUAUUAUGACGUGUUGUUAGAAUAUUUCAGUCGGGCCUUCAGUGGUUCUGGUCGGGUAUUAAAAUGGACUUUAAGAACCAAAGUGUGACAUUAGAGCUGUUAAUGAAUGCUGCAGUGACUAAAUGGAAGCAGCUCAUUUCCACAGUGACCUUUGACCUUCUAUUGAGUGGAACUGACUGAUUUAUCUGGAGGAUCAACAGCUGCAAUAAUUACACUUCACUCAUUCAUAAACACAUGAACACAUGAGUGAAAACAGAACUGAUUCUACCUGUUAUAUUGUUACACAGGAUGCUGCAUCACAACCAAUCUGAUAUCAAUGUUGUUACCAUGGAAGCAAGAACUAAUUCAGAACAAACAUCAGAUUUCUUCCACCAAACAUUCCAGCUUUACCAUCUACCAUCACAGCAGGGCUCAGAGAACAACUGAGAAGGCCUUUGGCAUAUUGUCAUCUAGAUGGCGGAUCUUGAGCCACCCGAUUGAAUAUAAUCCAUCAAAGAUAGUCCAUGUCGUUAAAGCAUGUGCAGCGCUCCACAACCGGUUGGCCUACACUGAUGAUUGUAGACAGUACAUCCCCACAAACUAUACUGACACUUAUACUCCAUCAGGCGACUUCAUGGCAGGUUAUUAGAGUCACAUGCAAUGUACAGAGUUUAUAGCAUAUCUCUAAAACACACCCAGCCAUUAUAACAUUUGCUUUUUUUGUUUCACACUACUAUAGGAGAAUGGAGACGAGUUGUAGGAAAUGAUCUACAAUCUUCAUUAAGAAGAACAAGCACCACAAGGAAUACGGGAAGAACAACGUAUGCAGUGAAGAACAACCUGCAGGAUUUCUUCUCAUUACCAUAUGGCCUUGUGCCUUGGCAACCAGCCACAAUAAGAAGAGGCAGGGUGUUUGUGUGAUUUACUUUCAAUAAAUUUAGAUUCAAUUUAUAUAUUUUUUAUCUUUCUAUUAUAAUAAACAUUUGGAUUUCUAACAAUUUGUCUGUCUUGUAAAACAAAAAAAUAUAUGUAUUUUCAUGGGGCUGUUAAGUGCCGGUUUUUUAAAAUCUUUUUGUGGGUUCUUUUAUUUGCCUGCUGCUUUAUUGUUUACGCACCAGAGGGCGCCAGAGACCAUCGCCAUGGUUAGGCGUGUCCACGCUGCAGCGCACCUGUGUUGCAUCAGAUCGUCAUCUCCAGGAUUCAAAAGGAGCAGACUGCCAGCACUUCAUCGCCUGAGUGUUUUGUCAGGAAUGGUGCUUCCUCGUGACUUCCUGAGAAGACUCCGUUCUGGUUUCUUGGAUUUCCCUCCCUCGUGGAUAAUACCCACUGGUUGUCCGAGCUCCACCCUCACCCUCUCCGUCUGAUCCCAAGCAGACUCUUGAUAUCUCCAGCUGGCAGUCGGACCGCUUCUCCGUUUUUCCCACCACGCUCGAACUUACCUGUCCGCCCUCCAACGCAGUAUCCACGACUGGGUUCGAACCUUUCCUCUACCAUCUCUUUAGGACCUGGAUUUCUGUAAGGACCCACACUAGGAGACCUAAGCCCCGAACCUGCAGAGUUACCCCUCCUGGACGGACAAAGCCUCUACAACAAGUGUGGUUGGUGUCUGUGAAAUGAACUCUGUGAUUUGUUGAAUGUUAUGAUGGGAAGAUGAACUGCUUGUGCUUUUAUAAAACAAAGAAACUUUAACUGGACCAAACCAUAGAAGAAGAAAGCAGACUUUACUAUGAAGAUCCUCAGAAUGGAUCAGUAGAAUAUCAGCCGUCUGUCUGCAGGAUUCUGUAGAAAACCACAGAGAUCCUUCACUCCAGAAUCUUUAAUGGCAUUGAAGCUCAGGUCCAAUCCAGUCAGAUGGGAGGGGUUG
Xiphophorus maculatus (southern platyfish) is the source of this 1981-nucleotide long non-coding RNA. RefSeq lists it as uncharacterized. NCBI's taxonomy places the organism in Eukaryota, Metazoa, Chordata, Actinopteri, Cyprinodontiformes, Poeciliidae. The record is from RefSeq and is a predicted model, not a curated record. The transcript is spliced from 4 exons.